CUAAGAAUAUUCCGCAAUGGACGAAAGUCUGACGGAGCGACGCCGCGUGGAUGAAGAAGGCUGAAAAGUUGUAAAAUCCUUUUGUUGAUGAAGAAUAAGGGGAAGAGGGAAUGCUUCUCUGAUGACGGUAAUCAGCGAAUAAGCCCCGGCUAAUUACGUGCCAGCAGCCGCGGUAACACGUAAGGGGCGAGCGUUGUUCGGAAUUAUUGGGCGUAAAGGGCAUGUAGGCGGUUAUGUAAGCCUGAUGUGAAAUCCUGGGGCUUAACCCUAGAAUAGCAUUGGGUACUGUGUAACUUGAAUUACGGAAGGGAAACUGGAAUUCCAAGUGUAGGGGUGGAAUCUGUAGAUAUUUGGAAGAACACCGGUGGCGAAGGCGGGUUUCUGGCCGAUAAUUGACGCUGAGAUGCGAAAGUGUGGGGAUCGAACA
Molecule: ribosomal RNA, 427 nt
Filed under: uncultured Treponema sp.
Lineage: Bacteria; Pseudomonadati; Spirochaetota; Spirochaetia; Treponematales; Treponemataceae
Description: bacterial SSU rRNA
Rfam family: Bacterial small subunit ribosomal RNA
Source: RNAcentral